RNAcentral lists this ribosomal RNA (442 nucleotides) under uncultured bacterium. RNAcentral's name for it is "partial 16S ribosomal RNA". It matches the Rfam family "Bacterial small subunit ribosomal RNA", at positions 338 to 795 of the family's 1533-position model. The record is from RNAcentral.
CCUACGGGUGGCAGCAGUGAGGAAUAUUGGGCAAUGGGCGCAAGCCUGACCCAGCAACGCCGCGUGAAGGAAGAAGGCCUUCGGGUUGUAAAAUUCUUUUGACAGGGAAGUAUAGAGGACGAUGCCUGGGAAUUAGUAUGUAGCUUACUACGUGCCAGCAGCCGCGGUAAUACGGAGGUGGCAAGCGAUAUGCGGAUUUAGUGGGUGUAAAGGGCUUGUAGGGGGGUUGAUAAGUCAGAUGUGAAAGCUUGCGGCUUAACCGUAGAAUUGCAGUUGACCCUGGUGAUCUUGAGUACUGGAGAGGCAGACGGAAUUCCUGGUGUAGCGGUGAAAUGCGUAGAUAUUAGGAGGAACACCAGUGGCGAAGGCGGUUCGCUGGACAGCAACUGACGGUGAGGCGCGAAAGUGUGGGGAGCAAACAGGAUUAGAUACCCUUGUAGUC